This 253-nucleotide ribosomal RNA is filed under the name uncultured bacterium. RNAcentral's name for it is "partial 16S ribosomal RNA". It matches the Rfam family "Bacterial small subunit ribosomal RNA", at positions 524 to 776 of the family's 1533-position model. The record is from RNAcentral.
UACGUAGGGUCCGAGCGUUGUCCGGAAUUAUUGGGCGUAAAGAGCGUGUAGGCGGCCAGGUAGGUGGGUUGUGAAAACUGGAGGCUCAACCUUCAGACGUCGACCCAAACCCCCUGGCUAGAGUCCGGAAGAGGAGAGUGGAAUUCCUGGUGUAGCGGUGAAAUGCGCAGAUAUCAGGAAGAACACCCGUUGCGAAGGCGGCUCUCUGGGACGGUACUGACGCUGAGACGCGAAAGCGUGGGGAGCGAACAGG